This 381-nucleotide ribosomal RNA is filed under the name uncultured eukaryote. RNAcentral describes it as "SSU rRNA". It matches the Rfam family "Eukaryotic small subunit ribosomal RNA", at positions 587 to 972 of the family's 1831-position model. The record is from RNAcentral.
AGCUCCAAUAGCGUAUGUUAAAGUUGUUGCGGCUAAAAAGCUCGUAGUUGGAUUUCUAGAUGAGAGGAGUGGUCCACUCUACGAGUGUGUAUCUACUUCCGCUCGUCUAUCCGCUCAGCGUGCAUUGCUGCGCUUGAUUGCGUGGCGUGUUGGUUGGGCCUUUUACUUUGAGGAAAUUAGAGUGUUCACGGCAGGCAAUCGCCUUGAAUAUAUUAGCAUGGAAUAAUAACAUAGGAUCUUGGUUCUAUUUUGUUGGUUUCUAGGACUAGGAUAAUGAUUAAUAGGGACAAUUGGGGGCAUUCGUAUCGCGGUGCUAGAGGUGGAAUUCUUAGAUUUCCGCGCGACGAACUACUGCGAAAGCAUUUGCCAAGGAUGUUUUCA